CAUACCCGCUCACCCGCCCACGACGCAUGCACGGGCGCACGCGCUUUGGCCUUCCGUGAUUGCAGCAUCCAAUUCCUCGUUGAUCGCUGCAUGUCCGGGAUCGGCACGACGCCAGGCGGCCAGGCGGGUGCACUUUGGCCUUCCGUGAUUGCAUCGUCCAGUUCAUCCAGCCAGCAGCCAUGCGGGUUCUGCUACGGGGAUCGCCGGCCUCGCCUCCGCGUUCGCCCUCGACGUCGUCCCGGCCUCGCCCGUCUGCCUAGCUUGCCGCGUUACGCUGCUUGCCGGCGCCUGAUCUUCAGGCGAAUCGAGCCGCCGGAGACCCCGUUCAUCCGCGCAGAUCCCCCACCGCUCCCCCCUACGGGCGGAUGGGCGGAGCGACGCGCGGACCUCCAGCCGCGACGAGCCGUGACGCGCGGAUCGAUCCGGAAGUCGUCGCCACUCCCGGUCUCCGAGCGCUCAGGCCUCCCCUGCGCUCCGUGCCUCUCCGGCCUCCAAGAUCUGUGCGCCUGCAGCCUCCCCCGCCUGCGCCACCAACUCCGCUCCCCAUCCCACGUCACAAUCUGAAGGAAAGAAACACUCCUCCCCCUCAAUCUCCGGUGCCUCACGUCGCUCUCCCGUCUAAUCCGUUUAAGGACCAAUGUGGACGAUGCUGCCAUUGCGGCACGGCUGGAUUACUCUGCACCUUAUCCGGACGAGCUGAACCUCCAGGUAACUGAUGUGCACCGCGGAGUUCACUAUUAGGCACCGCAGAGUGCAUCUUCAGGCUCAGUUUGGCUCUUGUAGUUAAUGGAUCACGGAAGGAGAAGUUUGCAUCUGGUUUGCUGCAACAGUUCCUGGCAUACCUAAAGGCCACGCAGUUCCACUUAUGAUUUCUGCUUGUUGUUUCAGCUUGAUUUGGUAUUCAAAUUGCAUUGGUGUCCAAUUUAAUUAAUCUUUGUAAUAGCUCUUUCCUAUCUUCUUUUCUAUCAAGCAAACAUCAGGGAUACAAGGAAACAAUGAAGGUAUUAACAGAUUAGGACAUUGAUGCCUUGGUGUGUUUUGGCAAAGCAACAAAGAAAGUGAUGGAUACCUUUCACCUUUAAGAGAAGAUGAAACUGCCAUAUGUCGACCUGCUUUACAACGAGUAUCCCAUCAUGCAGCAUGUCAUGGUGACGACUGACUACGGUUUCUCGACGGCACGGCGAGGGUGGCCUGUUGCCCCAGACGGAGAGGAUCCCCUCCAGCAGUCCAGCAGCACAGUGUGGUGACGACAUGCAGUCUGGGCCUCUGGGGUCCCGAUCUUCUGCUGAUCGCAUCACCACUGAUUGCUGCCGUCUCGGCAAUCAGGUCAGCCACGCCACCUGACGUGCAGAUCAUUGCAUCGGUAUGUUUUUAUUACAUAGUAGGUCCCCUGCAAUGGAUGGUCAUCACCCACUUGGAGACAUCUCAAACACUUGCAACCGUUGUAAGUGACCAAAUCGUGAAGGAGGAUCUAAUAUCCAGGAGAACAACCUUGGUACUAUUUUGUCUGGAAUUAUUUUUAUAAUUGUUUGGUUAGUCUUGCUGGUUAUAGGUGUUACCACUAUGUAUAUAUGCAAGCUUGUUAGCAGAAAAAAAAAACAGAGCUUAAUAGUAAGAGGAGGGAAGCCUGCCAUUAGAAAAAUGCUGAGAGUGCAGUUACUAACAAACAGUAUCAAACCACCAGGUAUACUUGAUGCACUGCUUUAUUAAACACUGUGUUUUGUAUCCAAUCAAUAAAUCGAACUAUAAAUUAUACUUAUAUUGCCAAAGCAUUCCUAUCCAGACAGUACUCAAAUAUUUCAUUUGAGAGAUUUGUUUUGCUCUAUAUAUGAUUUGUAUAAUUGUAUUGAUGACUGAAGCACUCAUUCUCCAUACAGUACUCAAAGAUUUCAUUUGAGAGAGACAUGUUGCUUUAUAUGUAUUGUGUGUUGGGUUUUUUUUUUGGUUAAUUUUUUAUUGACAUAUCAGAGAAUUUUGAGUCAAAGCAGGAAAUUUUCUGUUUCGGCUUUCCUCCGUGGCUCAUGUGUUUGAAACUUUGAAUCCAUGUAGCAUCUUUUUGUGUACUUUGUACAUAAUUCUUUCUCCAAAUGUUGUUCUGACUCCUUUACAUUUAUCUCCAUUGACCUAGGAAUUGAAAAGGAAGGAAGAGGCGUCAUCCUGAGUGUUGAUGGGACUGAUUAUGGGUCUAUUAGAGUGGGCACUUACGUGGGUUGCAAGAUGAUCAAGUGGUGCUGCAUCUAACCUACUUUCAGAAGUGUUGCUCUCAUGUACGUCUAUGCAAUCAAGCAACUCAAAUCCUGUUGAAUCAUGUAGUUCUUCUGGAUGCUAGAUCUUUGGGCAUUAAUGUUUGUGCCGCAAAUCAUGUAGGCAGUUACGUCCAUGUCUUUUGUAUAUUUUGUCUUUCUUAGCAUUUUAUAAGUUUUGGAGUGAGCAAAACACAUGGAUGAUGACCUUUGGAUAAGACUAAACAUCUCAUGGAAGUAUUUAUGGUCCCGUGGCAAGAGAAAUAUAGGCCAAAUGAUUUUGACUCUUAA
Panicum virgatum (switchgrass) is the source of this 2534-nucleotide long non-coding RNA. RefSeq lists it as uncharacterized. NCBI's taxonomy places the organism in Eukaryota, Viridiplantae, Streptophyta, Magnoliopsida, Poales, Poaceae. The record is from RefSeq and is a predicted model, not a curated record. The transcript has 5 exons.